CAGGUAGGCUAAAAACAGAGAAGGAAAACUACACACCAAUCUCCUUAAUGAACAUAGAUGCAAAAAUCUUAAAUAGGAUACUAGCAAAAAGACUCCAGCAAGUGAUCACAAGAGUUAUUCAUUAUGAUAAGGUGGGAUUUAUACCAGGAAUACAAGGAUUGUUCAAUAUUAGGAAAACCAUCCACAUAACUAAUUGACCAUAUCAACAAGCAAACCAACAAAAAUCACAUGAUUAUCUCAAGAAAGAAAGAAAGAAAGAAAGAAAGAAAGAAAGAAAGAAAGAAAAAAGAAAGAAAGAAAGAAAGAAAGAAAGAAAGAAGAAAGAAGGAAGGAAGGAAAGAAGGAAAGAAAGAAAGAAAGAAGAAAGAAAGAAAGAAAGAAAAGGAAGAAGGGAGGAAGGAAGGAAGGAAGGAAGGAAGGAAGGAAGGAAGGAAGGAAGGAAGGAAGGAAGUAAGGAAGGAAGGAAGGAAGGAAGGAAGGAAGAUCUAA
This 489-nucleotide long non-coding RNA is filed under the name Monodelphis domestica (gray short-tailed opossum). RNAcentral describes it as "lncRNA (ENSMODG00000027920.2)". Lineage: Eukaryota; Metazoa; Chordata; Mammalia; Didelphimorphia; Didelphidae. The record is from RNAcentral.